AUGCAAGCCAUCAGCCGGCUCAGGCCCGAUCAAGAUGGAGAAGAAGGACUGGGAGAUGAGCGGUCGGGACUGCGACUCGAAGCUGAGCCUCGGGCAAAACCAGAGUCAAAACCAAAGUCCAAGUCAAAGCCAAAGUCAAGGCCGGAGCUUGCACGAGUCGAGCUUCACCGGGACCAACGGCUUCGUGCCGCCCUCGCCGAGCCCGUACUACAACCAAACGCGGCAGGACCGCUUCGCCCACCCCAUGCAUCACAACUCCUACUACAACCCCCACUACUGCCCCCCGCGCUCGAGCCAGAUCCAGGAGCGCUUCGUCCCGGGAACCCGUACCACUUCCAGGGCGGUGACUCGGGGCUCCAGCCCUACCAGUCCUCGCAGUGCUGGAACCAAUUCAACGUCUACUCCACGCCGUCCAACGCCCACCAGUCCUACUCCGGCAUGAUGUCCUACUCCUCGCCGGCCUGCGACGUCGCCUCGGCCGAGUACAAAAGCUACUACUACAACAAUUACUCCAACUGCACCGAGUUCGAUUAUCAGAACUACGGGAGCUACCACUUCCAGCAGCGGUCGCAUCCCUACCGCAGGAUGAGUUACCAGAGCCAGCCGGCGCUCCCGUCCUUCAACAACGAUAGGCUCCAUUACAAUAUUUGAUUAAUUCGUCAUAAGUGAAGACUGAAAUUGGUUGAUCAAACGGAAACGUAUCUCAGUUUAUGUUAACGGAACCUGAGCCAUUGCCUCCGGGACGGCUGCAAAAAUAGUCUUUGCUCGUCUGUUACUAUUUAUUUUUAAACUCAUUGUUAUGUAGUUUAUUAUUCGUGUGAUAUUAAGUAAUGAUGUUAAUUAAGUUGAAAAGUUUACCAAAUAUUUGAACCCUCUUGAACAAAUUUUCAAAAUGUAGGAGAGGCAAGAAAAUGAUCUUGCCUCGUAACAGUAGGAAACGAAAGCACAAGAGGGUGUACUUACCUCCCUCUUGCUGUUUGGAUGUCCUUAAAUACUGUUCUUCGGUAAGGUGGAGCAACUCAGUGACACUCUCAUGAAAGUUUUUUUGACCGAAUGGAGAUACUUUCACAAGUGCAGAUCGCGUAAGUUGAAAAAAUUAGUGAGCAAAGUGUCGUCCCUAUGUUUUGUCAACUACCAAAAGUGAAACAUUUGAUUUUCACGGUCAUUGUGUCCAAAAGAUUCAAUUUUUCAGAUGAAAAAAAUAACCUAUAUACUUACAUUUUGAGAGAAGAAGUACAGUGGCUAAAAGUGAAGAUUUGAUUUACAUUUAGUGCGUAUAAAAUAAAUACGAGUAAAUACCAUGAGAAAUUAUAAUAACUAGACUUAUAAAAAUUGUCUAGCUAAUAUUAAGAUUUUGAUUUGUUUAAAUUUUCAGCAUGUAAUCUUCCCUAAAUCCAAGCAUCGUUUUGUCAGUGGCUCAAAACAUGUAAAUGGCCCCCUUACUUAAACACUACAGCAUGGGUCCUCGUACAUUUGAAUAAAACGAUUUAGACGAAUAAUGUUACCUUAAAGAUUGUACUGGUAUGUUCUUCAAUUAUCGUGAUUUUUGAUACUGCCCUUGUUAAGUUUGAAAUCUUAAAUUGACCCUCGUGAUUCGACAAUGUCUUCUAUUUUAGUAGUAUCUACGGGGUCUUCGAAGCAAUAAAAUCUUAGACUCGAAACAUGUUGAAGAAUGCGACGAAACUUAUUCCACGGACCAGUUUGAUGACCCUGAAAUAGCUAAAAUUGGUGCGCAAUUUUUAUGUUACGGUGUUUGUUACAUACUUCAUCAGUCGAACCAACCUCUAGGUUAAGAAAAUUAGGUACUCCACUGAAAUAAAUUGCACCGUCAAAGUUUGCUGAGCGGGUUAAUCCGCGUGGUGUGGAUAGAGUUAAAAUACUCUAGAUAGAGCUAAGAGCCUGUACUCAUCCUCCUCCUCCCCCGCCCCCGGCUGGUAAAAGCAUUACAAUGGUGAAAAUACCGAAUUUUGUACCUCGAUUUUCGUAGGUUUUGAGUUAUCUCACAAAUGAACUGUAAACUAUUUAUUUUAAGUAUCUGCUAUCAAAAUUAUUCCAUCGAAAAAAAAUCUAGAAGUUACGUGAAAUCGUAAAUCUAUUCACUUUAGCAUAUAAAUCAAAAUAUUUUUUGAUUUUGAAUACCUAUGUAUUAAAAAAAUUUCCAAGUAUUUCUUGUGUUUAUAACAGCCGCAAUUAACUUUUUCCGUUUUACAUCAGUCUUAAGGAGAUUGGCGCUCAAUUGGAUCGAAUGUGACAAAACAUCCCUGUCGAUUUCCGUAACUUCUUCAUCACCGAGUUGAAUUCCACCUUGCCUUACUUAAAAAUUUAAAAAUACCAAGAUUAUCAUGUUCAUUACUUCUUUGUUUGUUUUUUGUCUCCUCUAAGUUGUAGGUGCUUAAUCUAAUAUUGUUACUCUAUCCUUUGUUACCAUCUAGUUAGAUUCAAUACAAUUUCUUUGCGAACUGCAUAUUUCCUUAGCAAUAGAUCAUAUGCAUUGGUAAGCUCCGAAAACUUAUUCAAGAUCACGGAAGAUACUUUGAACCACAACAAGCACAUACUAAUUGUCAAAAGAAAAGGAGGAAAACAUUAUGUUACAGAGAAUCUUUACCCUAAGAGAUUUGUAACUAAGUUUGGAUUUUUUUAUGUAGAAUCACAUUGACUUCCCUUAUCUUUUUGGACAAAUACCACACGUAAUACAAACCUACAUAUCGAAUCGAUCGUGAAACUGCAAAAAUGAAUAUCUCGGUUUGCGGCGCUGCAGAAUCUUCCUGUCAUAAUUUAUUUUUUAAAUAGAAAAAUACUUUACUUCCUCUCGUGAAAACUUUCUUCAUUUUUCUUCUCUGUUUGAGGAAUAUUUUGUGAACAUUUUAUGAGAAAAAUCUUUAGCUCGUUAUCCUUUGAUAAACUGAAAUGGGAGUGAAGAUCUUGAAAGGCCGCAAACGAGACAAGCUGCUUUUUGUAUGAGGACUUGAUCUAACCCAAGCAAAUGCCAUUCCAUUGUGUUUUACUAAGUGUGAUCAGUCAUGUAAAAAUAAUUUUGGGAUCCCUCAAUCAUCCGAUGAAAGUGACCGAAUGUAAAGAAUUAUUAAGGAAAUGCUAGGAAACGCCUCCAUGCUUCAAAAUAUUAAUGCCAAAAAUAAUGCACCUCCUUUCUCGUUACCAGCACUUUAUAGUUUACUUGACAAAAUCAAGGCAUCAAAAAAGUCCGUCUGAAAUAUAUUACCCAUUGACAGAGUCUCAACCUUCAAUCAACAGAACAUCCUGAAUUUAAAUACUGUUAGUUCAAUGUGAAAGGUUUUCAAAAUGCGCCGUAUAUGAUACAUACUAAUUCAAUAUCUUGUGCCAUACAUAGGUAGGUACUGUUUCAUGCUGAAAAAAACAAUAGAAAGUUAUUUCUGUCAAGCCUUCCUUGGGUGCAAUCUAAGUUUGUUCUUGUAAUUGUUUCUUAAUCAGUCGUGUCAUGAUAUAUUUCAGUUUAAUAACAAAAAUACCUCCAUUAUGAAGCAAAAAAAUUAAAUGAUAUUUGAAGAAAUAAGAUGAAAAAACAAGAAAAUAUUCACACGUAGCAUCAUGCAAAAAUAUCAAAUUUUCGGAAUACUCUCUCAAAAUUUUUAAGAAAAAGAUACAGAAAAUAAGGUACAUAUUCAAGAGGACAUAAGUUGGUUGAAAUUGAUAAAAAAAAAGUAAGUCUCACUUAUUUCUUUGUUUUACUUUUCCGUAUCAAGAACUUGGUUAUGCAAAUUUUCCUGGUAUUUCCUUUUCUUUUAUUUUUUUAAAGAACAAUAUUGAUGAAUACCAACUUAGGUACAUUAACUUCUGUUGUCUAUCAAUUUUAAGCAAGGUCAGUACCUAGACCUCACACCAUCCCAACGGCUCAUCUUCCCCCUUUUUCCAUAUCCCGUACCUAUUUAUUUUAAAACCGUCAUACCUACGUUAAACACUUCAUAAAAUAGUAACUUAUCUACUUUUUAACCUUAAUACAUUUUAGGAAUAUGAAUCCAGCGGAUGACAGUUUUUAGACUAAUGUUAUUUUCUACGGGACCAAAAGUUUUAAAAUGUUUGUUCAAAUACUUAUUUGAAUAUUUUGUUCUUAAAUAUAACGAGAGAAAUAAAUAGAUGAAACUGUCACAUGAAAAUUUGGUAUAAGAUGGUUUACCUUUCUUAGGUCAGAAUACAUUUUAGAUUCAUCAGCCAAUCACUUCAGCUAGUUCUGAGUUGGUCUUUGCUUCAUCCAAGAGCAUUGAGGAAAUUGCGAGUUUGGAAGAACAAUUUUUAUGAAUGAAUGACGUUCAUGCUAUCUUGAGUUUUCAUUUGUGUCGCAUCAAGCGUUUAGCUGAGUUACAUAAAUUGUGCUAGGUCAUGGGAAUUCGCUAAUGACUUUUACCUCUCUUGUUCAGGAUAAUUUUCAUGAUUCGAAACAGGGUUUGAAGCUGCUACAUUUUGAAUCACUGCAACGCGUCUGUAAUCAUCGUACUAGAGACAGAGAGACAUCUUGUCUGACUUUAAAGACUACUAAAGCUUUACAUAUCAAUUAGUAACGAAAAUUUUCUCAGUUUGCAGACAUAGCAAUCUUAGCAGCCGAGAAAUCUUACUCUUGACGACAGCUACGAUGAAGUAAGGAGCCUGAACUCAUUCGAUUUCAAAUGAACUGCGAAUGAGCUUUCACAUAGAGAAAAAAAAGGAGGUGUUUGCAUCUUGAGGAUCGUGUACCCUGUGACGUAGGUCGGUACAACCUAGUCAGCAAAAUCCGGAAUUCGAAGUAUGAAAAACGGACCAUAACGUCCGAUUUUUUUGCUUAAAUCAAUCCAUGAUAUAAUUUCAAACACUUCAUGUAGAAAGCAUUCCUUCCAUAAACUACACCAUUCCCAAGAAAAUCGAUGAUAAAAGUCGCCGUACCGACCUACGUCAUCAAAAAAAUUCCAAGAUGCCCGAAAUGCAAACACCUCCUUUUUUUCUCUAUGGAACUUUCAAAUGAACAAUGGUGAAUCAGGAAAUCAGAUAAAGUGUAAUCGGAAGAACUUCAGGGGUCUACAAAAUGUUUAGUAGAGAUUUUCCAAGCUAAUUAUUUUGUCAUACGAGCAUUGCUAUGUUUAAAAUAAAAUGAAAAGUCGCAAGGCUUUUAGUAUUUAAUUACAUUUCUUAACUGAUUUGAGAGCCGUCGUUUCGGAGG
This 5167-nucleotide long non-coding RNA is filed under the name Bemisia tabaci. RNAcentral describes it as "lncRNA ENSASIAIIG006102". The record is from RNAcentral. Lineage: Eukaryota; Metazoa; Arthropoda; Insecta; Hemiptera; Aleyrodidae.